This 31-nucleotide non-coding RNA is filed under the name Homo sapiens (human). Lineage: Eukaryota; Metazoa; Chordata; Mammalia; Primates; Hominidae. The record is from RNAcentral.
UGAUCAGUUGCAAAUAUGAAGACUUCUCUGC